GGAUGAUGGUGUGUAAGAAUGAUGAAGAAAUCAUUCGGAUUCCCACUGAUAUUUAUUUGUGAUUACCACAACCAGCUACUUCUGACUUCACAUCCCUUUUUCAGAUUUUAAUUUUUAUAUGGAUUUGGAAUUUGACAAUUUGAAACCUUUUUCAGAUUUUAAUUUUUAUAUGGAUUUGGAAUUUGAUAAUUUGAAACAAAAAGGGCCUGUGAUGUAAGUAAAUAUUUGCUACUCUUGAUGGAAAUUUAAAUUUCCAUCUGAUGAUUCUCUAUCCACCAAGAUCUCUGAGGCCUU
This 294-nucleotide small nucleolar RNA is filed under the name Solanum lycopersicum (tomato). The stretch from base 204 to 292 matches the Rfam family "Small nucleolar RNA SNORD24". Lineage: Eukaryota; Viridiplantae; Streptophyta; Magnoliopsida; Solanales; Solanaceae. The record is from RNAcentral.